RNAcentral lists this microRNA precursor (78 nucleotides) under Myotis brandtii (Brandt's bat). RNAcentral's name for it is "mir-9193 microRNA precursor family". It matches the Rfam family "mir-9193 microRNA precursor family". Lineage: Eukaryota; Metazoa; Chordata; Mammalia; Chiroptera; Vespertilionidae. The record is from Rfam by way of RNAcentral.
CUUGGGGGGGGGGUGGUGGUCCCUCAGCCUGGAUUGCAAGAGGGAGAAGGUCAGGCCGAGGGACCCCACUGGUGCACA